RNAcentral lists this ribosomal RNA (492 nucleotides) under uncultured bacterium. RNAcentral's name for it is "partial 16S ribosomal RNA". It matches the Rfam family "Bacterial small subunit ribosomal RNA", at positions 29 to 507 of the family's 1533-position model. The record is from RNAcentral.
AGUGAACGCUGGCGGUAGGCCUAACACAUGCAAGUCGAACGGCAGCACAGUAAGAGCUUGCUCUUACGGGUGGCGAGUGGCGGACGGGUGAGGAAUACAUCGGAAUCUACUUUUUCGUGGGGGAUAACGUAGGGAAACUUACGCUAAUACCGCAUACGACCUACGGGUGAAAGCAGGGGAUCUUCGGACCUUGCGCGAUUGAAUGAGCCGAUGUCGGAUUAGCUAGUUGGCGGGGUAAAGGCCCACCAAGGCGACGAUCCGUAGCUGGUCUGAGAGGAUGAUCAGCCACACUGGAACUGAGACACGGUCCAGACUCCUACGGGAGGCAGCAGUGGGGAAUAUUGGACAAUGGGCGCAAGCCUGAUCCAGCCAUACCGCGUGGGUGAAGAAGGCCUUCGGGUUGUAAAACCCUUUUGUUGGGAAAGAAAAGCAGCAGGUUAAUACCCCGCUGUUCUGACGGUACCCAAAGAAUAAGCACCGGCUAACUUCGCG